AGAAUGGGAGGCAUCCCCCCUCCCCCUCUUCUUAACCCAACCGGUCGAGGCAGAUGGCCCCUCCCACCCUGAGUCCGGUUUUGCUCGAGGUUUCUGCCUCUUAAAGGAAGUUUUUCCUCUCCACAGUCUCCUAGUGCUGCUCAUGGUGGAUCUGUUGGGUCUCUCUCUGUAAAUACCUAUUUUAAAGAGUCUAGACCUGCUCUAUAUGAAAAGCGCCUUGAGAUGACUGUUGUUGUGAUAUGGCGCUAUAUAAAUAAAAUUGAAUUGAAUUUAAUUGAAUUGAACUGUUGGUUUGAUGUGUUUCACUGCAUUAACUGACAAUCUUAUAUUGUAAGGUGUUAUUAUUAUUAUUAUUAUUAUUAUUAUUAUUAUUAUUGUAGAGAAAAGAUCAUUGAUUAGGACAGAUCUGACUGGAUUAUAAAUGAUUUUAUCUCCAUCUUUUAUUCUUUAUUCAGCAUGUAUGACUGCAGUUUGUCAGAGAUCAGCUGUUCUUCUCUGGUCUCAGCUCUGAAGUCCAACCCCUCCCAUCUGAGAGAUCUGAACCUGAGAGACAACUACCUGCAGGAACCAGACGUGAAGGAGCUGUAUGAUCUUGUGCAGAGUCCAUACUAUAGACUGGAUGAUCUGGGCUGGAAGUGAGGAUGAGCUGUGUCCUGAUGAUCCAGAUGUUGAAGCAGCAGCAGCAGCAGCUUGUGUGUAGAGAGGCUCUGACUGGACCAUGUUCUGUUAUUCUGUUAAAGAUUCGUUACAAGGAGACUUCAUUCGUUUUUAUCAUCUACUCACUUUUAUCAUCUGAUCAUUUUCUUGAUGACAUGUACAUUGUUUUUAAGAAACGUCUUCAUUCAUCAUUUAAUCCUUUUCUUUCAGUUUGAAUCAUUUGAUGCUUAUUUCAGGUGCUUCACUGAACAUUUAAUCAUCUUCCUUUUGUUACUUAUGAUAGAAUAUAGUUUUGUUUUGCCUCAUCUUUUAUUAUAGACCAGUGUUAAUGAUAGAGUCAGUAGAUUUGUAGUGCAGAAUGUUCAUCUUUUAUUUUUAUGUGGAGGUUGGGAGCCAGUGUUUAACAUUUGAGCCAUAGAAAUAGUCAAUGAUGGACACACAGUACUGUUAGCUUUGGAUCAGAUUUGGUUUAUUAAUUCUAGCCUGCUUUAUUCGUGUGUCAACAUAUAUUUGUCAAUAAAAAAUCAUAAAA
Molecule: long non-coding RNA, 1189 nt
Organism: Lates calcarifer (barramundi perch)
Lineage: Eukaryota; Metazoa; Chordata; Actinopteri; Centropomidae
Exons: 2
Source: RefSeq, a predicted model, not a curated record